RNAcentral lists this ribosomal RNA (2797 nucleotides) under Klebsiella pneumoniae. RNAcentral's name for it is "23S ribosomal RNA". Lineage: Bacteria; Pseudomonadati; Pseudomonadota; Gammaproteobacteria; Enterobacterales; Enterobacteriaceae. The record is from RNAcentral.
UUAAGCGACUAAGCGUACACGGUGGAUGCCCUGGCAGUCAGAGGCGAUGAAGGACGUGCUAAUCUGCGAAAAGCGUCGGUAAGGUGAUAUGAACCGUUACAGCCGGCGAUGUCCGAAUGGGGAAACCCAGUGUGAUUCGUCACACUAUCGUUAACUGAAUACAUAGGUUAACGAGGCGAACCGGGGGAACUGAAACAUCUAAGUACCCCGAGGAAAAGAAAUCAACCGAGAUUCCCCCAGUAGCGGCGAGCGAACGGGGAGCAGCCCAGAGUCUGAAUCAGCUUGUGUGUUAGUGGAACGGUCUGGAAAGUCCGACGGUACAGGGUGAUAGUCCCGUACACCAAAAUGCACAGGCUGUGAACUCGAAGAGUAGGGCGGGACACGUGGUAUCCUGUCUGAAUAUGGGGGGACCAUCCUCCAAGGCUAAAUACUCCUGACUGACCGAUAGUGAACCAGUACCGUGAGGGAAAGGCGAAAAGAACCCCGGCGAGGGGAGUGAAAAAGAACCUGAAACCGUGUACGUACAAGCAGUGGGAGCACCUUCGGGUGUGACUGCGUACCUUUUGUAUAAUGGGUCAGCGACUUAUAUUCUGUAGCAAGGUUAACCGUAUAGGGGAGCCGCAGGGAAACCGAGUCUUAACUGGGCGUUAAGUUGCAGGGUAUAGACCCGAAACCCGGUGAUCUAGCCAUGGGCAGGUUGAAGGUUGGGUAACACUAACUGGAGGACCGAACCGACUAAUGUUGAAAAAUUAGCGGAUGACUUGUGGCUGGGGGUGAAAGGCCAAUCAAACCGGGAGAUAGCUGGUUCUCCCCGAAAGCUAUUUAGGUAGCGCCUCGUGAAYUCAUCUUCGGGGGUAGAGCACUGUUUCGGCUAGGGGGUCAUCCCGACUUACCAACCCGAUGCAAACUACGAAUACCGAAGAAUGUUAUCACGGGAGACACACGGCGGGUGCUAACGUCCGUCGUGAAGAGGGAAACAACCCAGACCGCCAGCUAAGGUCCCAAAGUCAUGGUUAAGUGGGAAACGAUGUGGGAAGGCACAGACAGCCAGGAUGUUGGCUUAGAAGCAGCCAUCAUUUAAAGAAAGCGUAAUAGCUCACUGGUCGAGUCGGCCUGCGCGGAAGAUGUAACGGGGCUAAACCAUGCACCGAAGCUGCGGCAGCGACACUAUGUGUUGUUGGGUAGGGGAGCGUUCUGUAAGCCUGCGAAGGUGWSCUGUGAGGSWUGCUGGAGGUAUCAGAAGUGCGAAUGCUGACAUAAGUAACGAUAAAGCGGGUGAAAAGCCCGCUCGCCGGAAGACCAAGGGUUCCUGUCCAACGUUAAUCGGGGCAGGGUGAGUCGACCCCUAAGGCGAGGCCGAAAGGCGUAGUCGAUGGGAAACAGGUUAAUAUUCCUGUACUUGGUGUUACUGCGAAGGGGGGACGGAGAAGGCUAUGUUAGCCGGGCGACGGUUGUCCCGGUUUAAGCAUGUAGGCUGGUUAUCCAGGCAAAUCCGGAUAAUCAAGGCUGAGGUGUGAUGACGAGGCACUACGGUGCUGAAGUAACAAAUGCCCUGCUUCCAGGAAAAGCCUCUAAGCAUCAGGUAACAUCAAAUCGUACCCCAAACCGACACAGGUGGUCAGGUAGAGAAUACCAAGGCGCUUGAGAGAACUCGGGUGAAGGAACUAGGCAAAAUGGUGCCGUAACUUCGGGAGAAGGCACGCUGGUGUGUAGGUGAAGYCCCUGCGGRUGGAGCUGAGACCAGUCGAAGAUACCAGCUGGCUGCAACUGUUUAUUAAAAACACAGCACUGUGCAAACACGAAAGUGGACGUAUACGGUGUGACGCCUGCCCGGUGCCGGAAGGUUAAUUGAUGGGGUUAUCCGUAAGGAGAAGCUCUUGAUCGAAGCCCCGGUAAACGGCGGCCGUAACUAUAACGGUCCUAAGGUAGCGAAAUUCCUUGUCGGGUAAGUUCCGACCUGCACGAAUGGCGUAAUGAUGGCCAGGCUGUCUCCACCCGAGACUCAGUGAAAUUGAACUCGCUGUGAAGAUGCAGUGUACCCGCGGCAAGACGGAAAGACCCCGUGAACCUUUACUAUAGCUUGACACUGAACAUUGAGCCUUGAUGUGUAGGAUAGGUGGGAGGCUUUGAAGCGUGGACGCCAGUCUGCGUGGAGCCAACCUUGAAAUACCACCCUUUAAUGUUUGAUGUUCUAACGUUGGCCCCUKACCGGGGUUGCGGACAGUGUCUGGUGGGUAGUUUGACUGGGGCGGUCUCCUCCCAAAGCGUAACGGAGGAGCACGAAGGUUAGCUAAUCCUGGUCGGACAUCAGGAGGUUAGUGCAAUGGCAUAAGCUAGCUUGACUGCGAGCGUGACGGCGCGAGCAGGUGCGAAAGCAGGUCAUAGUGAUCCGGUGGUUCUGAAUGGAAGGGCCAUCGCUCAACGGAUAAAAGGUACUCCGGGGAUAACAGGCUGAUACCGCCCAAGAGUUCAUAUCGACGGCGGUGUUUGGCACCUCGAUGUCGGCUCAUCACAUCCUGGGGCUGAAGUAGGUCCCAAGGGUAUGGCUGUUCGCCAUUUAAAGUGGUACGCGAGCUGGGUUUAGAACGUCGUGAGACAGUUCGGUCCCUAUCUGCCGUGGGCGCUGGAGAAUUGAGGGGGGCUGCUCCUAGUACGAGAGGACCGGAGUGGACGCAUCACUGGUGUUCGGGUUGUCAUGCCAAUGGCACUGCCCGGUAGCUAAAUGCGGAAGAGAUAAGUGCUGAAAGCAUCUAAGCACGAAACUUGCCCCGAGAUGAGUUCUCCCUGAGACUUUAAG